Long non-coding RNA from Onychostoma macrolepis, 714 nucleotides. RefSeq lists it as uncharacterized. The transcript has 4 exons. The record is from RefSeq and is a predicted model, not a curated record. Lineage: Eukaryota; Metazoa; Chordata; Actinopteri; Cypriniformes; Cyprinidae.
UAAAUUUGCUAACAUUAUAUCAAAUCAGUGAUGUCUAACAUUAUGUUUAUUACACAGCAAAUGAACCAAUCAGAAGAUGGACCAUUUUCUAUGUUCACCAUUCAGAAGACUCUCUGCCAUUGCAGUCCCACAUGACCAGGAAGGUACCUAACAUCAGCGCACAGCUACUUCACUGCAGACAAGCUGAAGGCUAAAUCCUCAAUUGGAGUCUUUCUCUCUAUGGAUCUCAGCAUUUUUGGACAGAAUUUAGAAUAUUGUUGGAACCCGGGAUCUCCACUGAAGGACUGAGUACAUUUGUGUUUGAGGACACGCAUACAGACCAGGGAACAUUCUGAUGUUGGCAAAGUUCUGAGCAGGAUCCAGUCUUCGGAGAAGUUCAUUUAUUCCCAAAGGUGGACAAAAACAUUGUGUUGGCUUUUAAAAGGCUAUUUUGAUAAUGACUUUUACUCCUAUGCUGUGGAAAAGAUGGAGGAGUACAGACAUUGCUAAUAAGAAAUCUUUCAAAAUACUUUUGGCUACCAGUGUACAUCAAUCCAGCAAAGUUUGGAAAAAAGUGAAAUGACUAUGAAGGUGGGGUUAUGUGUCAUGUUACCUAAUGAGAUGAAACUAACUUUUUUGUCUUGUGUUGGACAUUUCCUUUUUGACUGCUUAAAAUUGUAUGUAUAUAUAUAUUCUGCAGUUCUAUGUAAUUGUUGAUAUUUCAUCAUAAUAAAU